This 343-nucleotide long non-coding RNA is filed under the name Sus scrofa (pig). RNAcentral's name for it is "lncRNA (ENSSSCG00040073412.1, ENSSSCG00050008119.1, ENSSSCG00060016217.1)". The record is from RNAcentral. Lineage: Eukaryota; Metazoa; Chordata; Mammalia; Artiodactyla; Suidae.
CCCGAGUGGGUGUGAUCUCAGAGCCGGGAUGCGCUCUCGCGCCCGGAGUUCACACUGGGCCUCGACCAAAACCUCCAGAGCAGGCAAGCUGCCCUUUGGGCUACGCUAUUUAGGCAUGACUAAGAGAUAUUGUGAAAUUACAACCCAACAAUGCUUUGUGGGACAGGCGUUCCCACACCUAAGAAAUUGUCCAGCGUUGAACCAGCAUGUCUCAAAAUGGCAUCUGCGGAUGAACUGCAGGCGGCUGGAGACAGAUUUGCUGACCUCUAAUUGUCGAGGAUCUUCAUCUUUGGAAAUACCAAUCAUCUUUCUCAUGGAUGGAACCCUAACACGAAAAACCUGA